Molecule: long non-coding RNA, 862 nt
Filed under: Homo sapiens (human)
Lineage: Eukaryota; Metazoa; Chordata; Mammalia; Primates; Hominidae
Description: non-protein coding lnc-PCDH9-5:1
Source: RNAcentral
CAAUGUCUGGAGCCCUUGAUGUCCUGCAAAUGAAGGAGGAUGAUGUCCUUACGUUCCUUGCAGCAGGAACCCACUUAGGUGGCACCAAUCUUGACUUCCAGAUGGAACAGUACAUCUAUAAAAGGAAAAGUGAUGGCAUCUACAUCAUAAAUCUGAAGAGGACCUGGGAGAAGCUUCCGCUGGCAGCUCAUGCCAUUGUUGCCAUUGAAAACCCUGUAGAUGUCAGUGUCAUAUCCUCCAGGAAUACUGGCCAGAGGGCCAUGCUGAAGUUUGCUGCUGCCACUGGAGCAAACUCCAAUUGCUGGCCACUUCAUUCCUGGAAGCUUCACUAACCAGAUCCAGGCAGCCUUCCAGGAGCCAUGGCUUCUUGUGGUUACUGACCCCAGGGCUGACCGCCAGCCUCUCACAGAGGCAUCUUAUGUUAACCUACCUACCAUUGCUCUGUGUAACACAGAUUCUCCCCUGCGCUAUGUGGACAUUGACAUCCCAUGCAACAACAAGGGAGCUCACUCAGUGGGUUUAAUGUGGUGGAUGCUGGCUCGGGAAAUUCUGCACAUGUGUGGCACCAUUUCCCAUGAACACCCAUGGAGGUCAUGCCUGAUCUCUACUUCUACAGAGAUCCUGAAGAGAUUGAAAAAGAAGAGCAGGCUGUUGCUGAAAAGGCUGUGACUGAGGAGGAAUUUCAGGGUGAAUGUACUGCUCCAGCUCCUGAGUUCACUGCUACUUAGCCUGAGAUUGCAGACUGGUCUGAAAGCGUGCAGGUGACCUCUGUGCCUACUGAAGAUUGGAGUGCUCAGCCUGCCACGGAAGACCGCUCUGCAGCUCCCACUGCUCAGGCCACUGAAUGGGUAGGAGCAACCAC